Molecule: ribosomal RNA, 255 nt
Filed under: uncultured bacterium
Lineage: Bacteria
Description: partial 16S ribosomal RNA
Rfam family: Bacterial small subunit ribosomal RNA
Source: RNAcentral
UACGUAGGGACCGAGCGUUGUCCGGAAUCAUUGGGCGUAAAGAGCGUGUAGGCGGCCACUUAAGUCCUGCGUGAAAUCUUGCGGCUCAACCGCAAGCGGUCGUGGGAAACUGGGUGGCUAGAGUGCGGGAGAGGAGAGUGGAAUUCCUGGUGUAGCGGUGGAAUGCGCAGAUAUCAGGAGGAACACCGAUGGCGAAGGCAGGUCUCUGGGCCACUACUGACGCUGAGAAGCGAAAGCAUGGGGGAGCGAACAGGG